AGUUUGAUUAUGGCUCAAAGAUUCGACGCUGGCGGGAUGCGCACACAUGCAAGUCGAACGGCAGCACGGACUUCGGUCUGGUGGCGAGUGGCGAACGGGUGAGUAACGUCACGUGAACGUGCCUUAGUAGCGGGGAUAAACUACGCGAAAGCGUAGCUAAUACCGCAUCGCCCUUCCAGGGAAAAGCGGGGGACGGGCCUCGCACUAUUAGAGCGGCCGAUAUCGGAUUAGCUAGUUGGUGGGGUAACGGCUCGCAAGGCGACGAUCCGUAGCUGGUUUGGUUUGAGCAGCCACACUGGGACUGAGACACGGCCCAGACUCCUACGGAGGGCAGCAGUGGGGAAUUUUGGACAAUGGGAAACCUGAUCCAGCCAUCCGUGUGCGAUGAAGGCCUUCUGAAGUUCAGAAAGCGCUUUGGCAGGAAAGAAACGGCACGGGAUAACACCCCGUGCAACUGACCGGUACCUGCAGAAUAAGCACCGGCUAACUACGUGCCAGCAGCCGCGGUGUGGUUGCAAGCGUUAAUCAAAGAUUGCACAGAUAAAGCGUGCCGCAGGCGGUUCGGAAAGAAAGAUGUGAAAUCACAGAGCUUAACUGGAACUUCAUUUUUAACUACCGAGCUAGAGUGUGUCAGGGAGUGGAAUUCCGCGUGUAGCAGUGAAAUGCGUAGAUAUGCGGAGGAACACCGAUGGCGACAAUAUACAGGAUAGCUGCUGUAUAUUACAGAAAGCAUUGGGAGCAAACGGGAUUAGAUGCCCUGUUAGUCCACGCCUAAACAGAUACUCAACUAGCUGUUGGGGCCUUCGGGCCUUGGUAGCGCAGCUAACAGCGAAGUUGACCGCCUGGGAAUUACGGUCGCAAGAUUAAAACUCAAAGGAAUUGACGGGGACCCGCACAAGCGGUGGAUGUGGAUUAAUUCGAUGCAGCGCGAAAGGCCUUUACCUACCCUUGACAUGUCUGGAAUCCCGGAAGGGUACGGUGCUCAACGAAGAGAACCGGAACACAGGUGCUGCAUGGCUGUCGUCAGCUCGUGUCGUGAAUGUUGGGUUAAGUCCCGCAAUAGGCGCAACCCUUGUCAUUAGUUGCUACGAAAGGGCACUCAAUGAGACUGCGGUGACAAACCGGAGGCAGGAUGACGUCAGUCCUCAUAGCCCUUAUGGGGUAGGGCUUCGCGUCAUACAAUGGUCGGGACAGAGGGUGCUUCAACCCGCGAGGGGGAGCCAAUCCCAGAAACCCGAUCGUAGUGGAUCGCAGUCUGCAACUCGACUGCGUGAAGUCAGAUCACUGCGCUAAGUAGUCUCGCGAGGAUCAGCAUGUCGCGCGGUGAAUACGUUCCAGGUCUUGUACACACCGCCGUCACACCAUGGGAGUGGGUUUUACCAGUGAAUUAGCCUAACCGUAAGGAGGGCGAUUACCCACGGGCGGAUUCAUGACUGGGGUGAAGUCGUAACAAGGUAG
RNAcentral lists this ribosomal RNA (1458 nucleotides) under uncultured Bordetella sp. RNAcentral's name for it is "partial 16S-23S ribosomal RNA intergenic spacer". It matches the Rfam family "Bacterial small subunit ribosomal RNA". Lineage: Bacteria; Pseudomonadati; Pseudomonadota; Betaproteobacteria; Burkholderiales; Alcaligenaceae. The record is from RNAcentral.